UACAGAGGGGGCAAGCGUUGUUCGGAAUUACUGGGCGUAAAGGGCGCGUAGGCGGCCUGUUAAGUCGAACGUGAAAUCCCCGGGCUCAACCCGGGAACUGCGUCCGAUACUGGCAGGCUUGAAUCCGGGAGAGGGAUGCGGAAUUCCAGGUGUAGCGGUGAAAUGCGUAGAUAUCCGGAGGAACACCGGUGGCGAAGGCGGCUUCCUGGACCGACACUGACGCUGAGGCGCGAAAGCUAGGGGAGCAAACGGG
RNAcentral lists this ribosomal RNA (253 nucleotides) under uncultured bacterium. RNAcentral describes it as "partial 16S ribosomal RNA". It matches the Rfam family "Bacterial small subunit ribosomal RNA", at positions 524 to 776 of the family's 1533-position model. The record is from RNAcentral.